Molecule: ribosomal RNA, 596 nt
Filed under: uncultured bacterium
Lineage: Bacteria
Description: bacterial SSU rRNA
Rfam family: Bacterial small subunit ribosomal RNA
Source: RNAcentral
CCUGCCCCAUAGUCUGGGAUACCACUUGGAAACAGGUGCUAAUACCGGAUAAGAAAGCAGAUCGCAUGAUCAGCUUUUAAAAGGCGGCGUAAGCUGUCGCUAUGGGAUGGCCCCGCGGUGCAUUAGCUAGUUGGUAAGGUAAAGGCUUACCAAGGCGAUGAUGCAUAGCCGAGUUGAGAGACUGAUCGGCCACAUUGGGACUGAGACACGGCCCAAACUCCUACGGGAGGCAGCAGUAGGGAAUCUUCCACAAUGGACGCAAGUCUGAUGGAGCAACGCCGCGUGAGUGAAGAAGGUUUUCGGAUCGUAAAGCUCUGUUGUUGGUGAAGAAGGAUAGAGGUAGUAACUGGCCUUUAUUUGACGGUAAUCAACCAGAAAGUCACGGCUAACUACGUGCCAGCAGCCGCGGUAAUACGUAGGUGGCAAGCGUUGUCCGGAUUUAUUGGGCGUAAAGCGAGCGCAGGCGGAAGAAUAAGUCUGAUGUGAAAGCCCUUCGGCUUAACCGAGGAACUGCAUCGGAAACUGUUUUUUCUUGAGUGCAGAAGAGGAGAGUGGGAACUCCAUGUGUAGCGGGUGGAAUGCGUAGAUAUAUGGAA